GGAGACGUGGCCGAGUGGUCGAAGGCACUCCCCUGCUAAGGGAGCAUCUGGGCAAACCCGGAUCGAGGGUUCGAAUCCCUCCGUCUCCGCCA
Molecule: transfer RNA, 92 nt
Filed under: Betaproteobacteria bacterium
Lineage: Bacteria; Pseudomonadati; Pseudomonadota; Betaproteobacteria
Description: tRNA-Ser
Rfam family: tRNA
About the family: Transfer RNA (tRNA) molecules are approximately 80 nucleotides in length. Their secondary structure includes four short double-helical elements and three loops (D, anti-codon, and T loops).
Source: RNAcentral